Non-coding RNA from Cricetulus griseus (Chinese hamster), 929 nucleotides. The record is from RefSeq and is a predicted model, not a curated record. Lineage: Eukaryota; Metazoa; Chordata; Mammalia; Rodentia; Cricetidae.
GAAGGUGGAGAAAGUCCCCGAGCGAGACCUGAGCAGUGGCGGAAGGCUUACAACUUCCACCGAAGCUGAAGCGAGAGGUGAAAGGGGCAGAGCGCACAGGGUGAUCCUAAAGGAUCGAUUUGGGCCGGCUCAGACCAAGCAGCCGGAUUUUGACACUCCAACUACUUGCCUCCGGAUUUAGGUCCAAUAAUCUCGGACACCAAAAAGGUGAAACCAUUGCUCCCUCAAACAAUGGGGGAUGCAGCUGCUCAGAACCCUAGCAAAGCUAAAGUUGGAUUCUUUUGCCGGGCGCCUAGUUGUUCCUCCUCCUGGGGGACACUCCCCUCCCAGCCUCCUCCCUCUGCAGGCCUGGCCUCGGCUUCUUAAAGUCACAGGGUGUCUCAUUGCCCUAGAGAAGCACCGCCCAAAUGGGGAGUAAGUGUCAGGCGGGGCGGGGGCGGGGGCGUGCUGCAGGGUGCAAUCUCGGGACUGUGAAGACAAAACAAGAGCCCAGGUGGUCGAAGGAUGGACUUGGAGGACCCACUAGCGCAUACCUUCCUUGCCCCUCCCGCUGUGUAGUCCCCCAAACUGCAGACUCUGGCUCCCGGGAGUAAGCACUGGGAGGUUACAGGCCUGUUUCCGGAGGUGACCUUUCAGUCUGCGCACACCCCCCACCCGGGCCCCUAAGGCGCAGGCCAUCCCACCCAAGGGUCUGCAAAGUUGCACUGUGGAGAAGCCAAAAGCCGACUUCGACCUUUUGAUUUGAUGUAGCAAAGAGUGUGUGUCCAGAUUAUCUGAAAUUGACACUGAAGAAGCUACACAGGUGGUCAAGCAGGGCCCGGAAGAAAGAAAAAAGCGUUCCAGGAUUCGGUGAAGGGCUGCCGGCAAACCGGUGUGGCUCAGACCUGGUGACUUUUUGGAGAGGCCGCAGAAUGAAGACAGCAGACACA